RNAcentral lists this ribosomal RNA (497 nucleotides) under uncultured bacterium. RNAcentral describes it as "partial 16S ribosomal RNA". It matches the Rfam family "Bacterial small subunit ribosomal RNA", at positions 28 to 507 of the family's 1533-position model. The record is from RNAcentral.
GAUGAACGCUGGCGGCGUGCCUAAUACAUGCAAGUCGAGCGAACGGACGAGAAGCUUGCUUCUCUGAUGUUAGCGGCGGACGGGUGAGUAACACGUGGAUAACCUACCUAUAAGACUGGGAUAACUUCGGGAAACCGUAGCUAAUACCGGAUAAUAUUUUGAACCGCAUGGUUCAAAAGUGAAAGACGGUCUUGCUGUCACUUAUAGAUGGAUCCGCGCUGCAUUAGCUAGUUGGUAAGGUAACGGCUUACCAAGGCAACGAUGCAUAGCCGACCUGAGAGGGUGAUCGGCCACACUGGAACUGAGACACGGUCCAGACUCCUACGGGAGGCAGCAGUAGGGAAUCUUCCGCAAUGGGCGAAAGCCUGACGGAGCAACGCCGCGUGAGUGAUGAAGGUCUUCGGAUCGUAAAACUCUGUUAUUAGGGAAGAACAUAUGUGUAAGUAACUGUGCACAUCUUGACGUUUCCUAAUCAGAAAGCCACGGCUAACUACGUG